CAAGCGUUAACUCUCAAAGAACAAAAAUACACUGCCAGCACUGAACCAAAAUAGGUUUAAUAGUAUUACUAAAAUUUUUUUUUAAAAUCCUGAAAUCUCUACCUUUUUCCUCAGACUCCUACAGCCAACUGAAAUACUUCCCAGCAUGCUUGGUCAGAGAAGAUUCUAGGUGGAGACAUACAGAUCUGCAAGCUGGAGCUGAGGAGUUACUUCCCAAAACUGUUCAUCACAGCUGGAUUGAAAGAAUAUUUGGGAAAUGUGGCAAUGUUGUUUAUAUAAAUAGACGACACUGUAAGUCUACUAGAGAUCCAAAGACAUUUGCCUUGUGGAAUUUGGAACAAAAGAACAAGUAUCAAAAGCAAUUGAGAUAUAUUUAAAAAAAAAAAAAAUUGCAGGUCAAGACUUAUUAGUAAGUUGCAAGUAGCACUUGGAAAAGGAAAAACAAAGAACAGAAAGCAAAUACCAGAGCACACAGCAACUAACAAGAAAUGGUAAGUACUGCUUAAUAAAUGUUUGUGUAUAUAUACAGGUGUUCAGUAUUGUCAAAGAGAGGUCUGAAAAACAUUAAUAUCAUACCUUGGUAUAUGUUUUUCUGUAUUUCUUUCUGGCCCUAGCUCCUAAAACUUAGGCUGAAAUGAAGGUUUCACAGUAAAAUUAGAUGAUCAGGCUUUUUAUUUUAAACACAACUUUAGUUUAAAAGGUGUUUGUAUGAAGAUGCUCACUUACUCUAUACUAUAUGGGCAACUGCAUGGAAUCUGUGGUAACUAUUUCCCUCCUGCUCUGGCUUUAUGGCCAUACUGAGGCAAAAGGAAGUCUUAUGCCAAUAAAGACAGGCACUUUCACGUAAAUUUCACAUGGCACAUUUUUAACUCUUCCUACUACACAGUCACAUAGUUCUUUCUUUAAAAGUUUCUGUUCAUUCUGUCUACUUUCUUGGCUUCUCUUCUGUACUUCCAACGCC
Non-coding RNA from Miniopterus natalensis, 961 nucleotides. NCBI's taxonomy places the organism in Eukaryota, Metazoa, Chordata, Mammalia, Chiroptera, Miniopteridae. The record is from RefSeq and is a predicted model, not a curated record.